RNAcentral lists this ribosomal RNA (837 nucleotides) under uncultured bacterium. Its description in RNAcentral is "bacterial SSU rRNA". It matches the Rfam family "Bacterial small subunit ribosomal RNA", at positions 8 to 842 of the family's 1533-position model. The record is from RNAcentral.
AGAGUUUGAUCAUGGCUCAGGACGAACGCUGGCGGCGUGCCUAACACAUGCAAGUCGAGCGGAGGCAUAGGGAAGAAGUUUUCGGAUGGACUCCCUAUGCUUUAGCGGCGGACGGGUGAGUAACGCGUGAGCAACCUGCCUUUCACAGGGGGAUAAGGCGGCGAAAGCCGCUCUAAUACCGCAUGAGACCACGGUGAUGAUGUCACAGGGGUCAAAGGAGCAAUCCGGUGGAAGAUGGGCUCGCGUCCGAUUAGGUAGUAGGUGGGGUAAGGGCUCACCUAGCCAAUAAUCGGUAGCCGGCCUGAGAGGGUGAACGGCCACAUUGGAACUGAGACACGGUCCAAACUCCUACGGGAGGCAGCAGUGGGGAAUAUUGGGCAAUGGGGGGAACCCUGACCCAGCAACGCCGCGUGAGGGAAGAAGGUUUUCGGAUUGUAAACCUCUGUUCUUGGGGAAGAGUAGAAGACGGUACCCAAGGAGGAAGCCCCGGCUAACUACGUGCCAGCAGCCGCGGUAAUACGUAGGGGGCGAGCGUUGUCCGGAAUGAUUGGGCGUAAAGGGCGCGUAGGCGGCUGUGCAAGUCAGUAGUGGAAGCCCAGCUUUUAAGGUUGGAAGUGCUAUUGAAACUGUGCAGCUUGAGUGCAGGAGAGGUUAUCGGAAUUCCCGGUGUAGCGGUGAAAUGCGUAGAGAUCGGGGGGAACACCAGUGGCGAAGGCGGGUGACUGGACUGCAACUGACGCUGAGGCGCGAAAGUGUGGGGAGCAAACAGGAUUAGAUACCCUGGUAGUCCACACUGUAAACGAUGAAUGCUAGGUGUAGGGGGUAUCGACCCCUUCU